RNAcentral lists this unclassified non-coding RNA (3030 nucleotides) under Hevea brasiliensis (rubber tree). The record is from RNAcentral. Lineage: Eukaryota; Viridiplantae; Streptophyta; Magnoliopsida; Malpighiales; Euphorbiaceae.
AAAAAUCAGAAAUUUAUAAAUUAGCUGUCAGGCAAGAAAUGUUUUAACAGUGCAAUAUGGCAAUUCAUGUUUGACUAUUCUAUACAUGGAUCACUCUCGGUGACUCCCCCGUUUCCAAAUUCUCAGUUUCUCCCACGUUAGCAAUUAAUAGCAUGAGCCAUUAAGGAAAAUUAACAAAUUUGAUACUAAACAAAUGGAUGAAGGUUACAUUACAUAUCAAUUCUCACUUUCCAUUCAGUUGGAAUUAAGGUUAAAUAGGUAUCGGUAACCAUGUAAAUUUAAAAUGUGUAACAAAUGUAUACAUGGGUCAUUAUUCAUUAACUUUUUCCCAUAUUGUAUUUUCUAUCUUAUGGGCAAGACCCACAAUAUGUGGGAAUAUUAAUGCACAGACCAGAUUAAAAAGCAUCAUCUAAAAGAGUGACGAUUUCACAAGUUUGAGUUAAGAAAUAGAACUAGAACCUCAUUUCAACUUCAGCAACAAUCUGACCAUCAUUGUUCGAACUUCUAGGUUGAAACUUCUCAUCCUCAUCAGGAUCAGACACAUAAUCUUCACCAUUCCAUAUGCAACAUUUAGGUCUUCUAUCAAUGUCCUCUUCAGCCUCUUCUGGGACUUCAGUAGUGGAUGGUGUUGUCUGAAAAGGAACACUGGGAGCAUUAGGCAGUUUAGAGAGUUGCUCUAAAAGUAUGUUCCUGAAACAGCAUGUCAGUCAAUGUCAAACACAAGGGUACAAGCCAAAGAUAGUUACAAUAAGAAUUAUUUAAAAUGAAAAAUAGGCUAAUAUAUAACAUAUAACAAAUUUCUAACAGACAUUAUCUAUGCCCACUUUUUGGUGUACACUUCUAUACAUGAGAGAGAGUUUUACUAUGUUCAUUGGAUUCACUUUUUAAUAUUAUGGCUGAAGUUUUCAAGGAAAUGUCUGCAAGCAGUCCGGCGCGUGAACAGAUGUAUGUACUGGGAAAAAAAAAUGUUUCCCCAUGUAGCAGGCAGCAGGAGAAAUCCCCAAAUAGUGCCCAUCAAGAUAGAUAAAUUAGCCAUCCAACCAACAAUUAUAACUCUAGCUCCUCAUGUCCUCAAACAGGCAACCACAUAUCAGCUCAAGAAAAUAUUAAGCCCAAGUGGCAGCAUUUAUCAAACAGAUCUAUUUGAUUAGAUUAGCCACCAAGUAAUAAUGGAAAAAGCAUUGGUAAUGUAUUGAUAUUUUGAUAUUUUCAACUAGGAAAAGAAAUAAUAUAUCACUGACUGCAAAUUCAAAUGGCAAACAGUUCUAGUCUCACAUUGUGGAAUGAGAAUGAAAAGCUUCAUAGGAUGAACACCUUCAUAAGUAUCAUUGCUGCACAAAGAGCAUAUGCAAGGUAAGCUGCAUGUGCCAUGCUUCAAAUGUCAAAGAAAUAGGAUCCCGGUCCAUUUCAACAUAGUAAUUCUGACUGUAAUCUUUAGAUUUGGCUCUAAUAGGAGCAAAAGGCAGAAUAAAUUAUAGAGUUGUUUGUCAUUUUGAGCCAUGGCCAUUCACCAACAUGAUAUUAUUUCAGCGUUAAACAAAGAAGCAUCUCACUAAAUUGAGUUAUAACAAAACUGUUUACCACAAUUCAUAAAGCAUAUUCAAGAUAAAAUAUUUUUUCAAAGUUCUACCUGUCACUACUCAAAAGUUUUAAUUUAAAAUUUGAAAUGCAAAUAUAAAAAUAAAUUACUAGAGCUACCAAUAAUGUUGACUCUAAGUAUAAGCAAGUAAUAUAGCAACCCAAAUCACCUUAUUCUCUCCAUGUCUUUAGGUGAGUUUAAGUUCUCCAUGUUGGAAGGUUCAAAGUGAAGUGUGUAAUCUGGGCCAAAGUACUCAUAAUAUUCAUUGUAAGGCAAUUUAUUAUCAGGUUCCACCCCCACUGCAACUGCUGUCUGUGAAAAAGCAACAAAGGCACUCAUCACUUGAAAGAGUUAAAGAAUUGACAAGAGAGAGAGAACAGGAGGAGGAAGAGAAUGACAAGCCUCAUAGCACCAGCAACGGGCAACAUUCCGAAUAGUAUAUCCGCCACCACCCAAGACCAUCAAAGGGACAUUAAAAGAUCUAAGAAAAUGAAGGCAAUCAGCAUGACCCUUCACAGACAAGUUGAAGCACCCCAACCUAUCACCAGAUAAUGAAUCUGCUCCACAUUGGAGAACAACCGCAUCAGGCUGAUAUAUCUCCAUGACUUUCUGGAUGAUGGGACGAAACAGACUGCGGAAACUUUCAUCAUUCAUCCCAUCAUUUAAUGGGAUAUUCAGAGCAUAGUUCUUCCCUUGCCCAGUACCAGUGUCCUUUAUAUGCCCUGUUCCUGGAAAGAAAUCUCCAAAUUUAUGAAAGGACACUGUCAUGACCCUGUCAGUAGUAUAAAAUGCCUCCUCAACACCAUCUCCAUGGUGGACAUCAAUAUCAACAUACAGGACACGCCUGUGAACCUUAAGCAACUCGAGAAUCCCCAGCACAAUAUCAUUAACAUAACAAAAUCCGGACGCCUCACUCUUCUUAGCAUGAUGCAAGCCACCAGCCCAGUUCAACGCGAUAUCGGCAUCACCCCGAUUGAGCUUGACAGCAGCCCCAAUCGAGCCACCGGCAGAUGCCUGACAAAACUCAAAAAGCUCAUAGAAAACAGGGCAAUCCUCCCCAACGUUAAACCUCUUGAGAUGUCUAUUAUGCGAGGGGUCAGCCAGAGACUCUGGAGACACGGAAGAAAGGAACUUCACGUAGUCAUCCGAAUGGAACUUGAGGAUGUCAGCGGGAGCCGCGGGGAAGGGCCGGUUUAUCUCCAUCCUACGGUGGAGGGAGUAGUGCACGAUCAAAUUAUGCGCCAUGCGAAUUCGGUGGGGCUUCAUUGCGUGUCCCUGGCCAUAGUAGUAGUUGCCAAUCGUGGGCUCGUAGAAGUAGGUUACACGACGCUUCUUGGCGUCGGUGCCGGUGGACAGGAGAGAAGCACCACCAGUUGUGUCACCCAUUUGCAAAACCCUAUUUGAAGAGAAGCUGAAGUUUGUGUGUGAUUUCCUCUUUCCAGAAGGGGAAA